This 301-nucleotide ribosomal RNA is filed under the name uncultured bacterium. RNAcentral's name for it is "partial 16S ribosomal RNA". It matches the Rfam family "Bacterial small subunit ribosomal RNA", at positions 509 to 807 of the family's 1533-position model. The record is from RNAcentral.
CAGUAGCCGCGGUAAGACAGAGGAUGCAAGCGUUAUCCGGAAUGAUUGGGCGUAAAGCGUCUGUAGGUAGCUUUUCAAGUCCGCCGUCAAAUCCCGGGGCUCAACCCUGGACAGGCGGUGGAAACUACCAAGCUGGAGUACGGUAGGGGCAGAGGGAAUUUCCAGUGGAGCGGUGAAAUGCGUUGAGAUCGAAAAGAACACCAACAGCGAAAGCACUCUGCUGGGACGACACUGACACUAAGAGACGAAAGCUAGGGGAGCAAAUGGGAUUAGAUACCCCCGUAGUCCCUGUCUCUUAUAC